This 77-nucleotide transfer RNA is filed under the name Candidatus Omnitrophota bacterium. RNAcentral describes it as "tRNA-Val". It matches the Rfam family "tRNA". From Rfam's summary of the family: Transfer RNA (tRNA) molecules are approximately 80 nucleotides in length. Their secondary structure includes four short double-helical elements and three loops (D, anti-codon, and T loops). Lineage: Bacteria; Pseudomonadati; Candidatus Omnitrophota. The record is from RNAcentral.
GGGCUCAUAGCUCAGUUGGUUAGAGCGUUUCCUUGACAUGGAAAAGGCCGGAGGUUCAAGUCCUCCUGGGCCCACCA